This is a long non-coding RNA of Hipposideros armiger (great roundleaf bat), 212 nucleotides long. RefSeq lists it as uncharacterized. The record is from RefSeq and is a predicted model, not a curated record. NCBI's taxonomy places the organism in Eukaryota, Metazoa, Chordata, Mammalia, Chiroptera, Hipposideridae. The transcript is spliced from 2 exons.
AAGUAGCUACAUUCUUUGCAAAAAUGCUCGAUCAUGAAUAUACUACUAAGGAAAUAUUUAGGAAAAAUUUCUUUAAGGACUGGAGAAAGGAAAUGACUAAUGAAGAGAAGAAUAUUAUCACCAACCUUAGCAAAUGUGAUUUUACCCAGAUGAGCCAGUAUUUCAAAGCCCAGACGGAAGCUCAGAAACAGAUGAGCAAGGAAGAGAAACUG